GAUGAACGCUGGCGGCGUGCUUAACACAUGCAAGUCGAACGGGAAACCCUUUCUUGAAGCCUCGGCAGAUUUUACUGGGUUCUAGUGUCGGACGGGUGAGUAACUCGUGGGUAACCUGCCCUAUUCAUGGGGAUUACAACCCGUAAUGGUUGCUAAUACCGCCUCAGCGCACACCGGCGCAUGGUCCGGUUUGAAAAACUCCGGUGGUAUAGGAUGGACCCGCGUUGGAUUAGCCAGUUGGAAGGGUAACGGCCUACCAAAGCGACGAUCCAUAGCCGGCCUGAGAGGGUGAACGGCCACAGUGGGAAUGAGACACGGCCCAGACUCCUACGGGAGGCAGCAGUGGGGAAUAUUGCACAAUGGGGGAAACCCUGAUGCAGCGACGCCGCGUGAAGGAAGAAGUAUCUCGGUAUGUAAACUUCUAUCAGCAGGGAAGAUAGUGACGGUACCUGACGAAGAAGCCCCGGCUAACUACGUG
RNAcentral lists this ribosomal RNA (478 nucleotides) under uncultured bacterium. Its description in RNAcentral is "partial 16S ribosomal RNA". It matches the Rfam family "Bacterial small subunit ribosomal RNA", at positions 28 to 507 of the family's 1533-position model. The record is from RNAcentral.